RNAcentral lists this ribosomal RNA (1058 nucleotides) under uncultured Sordariomycetidae. Its description in RNAcentral is "eukaryotic LSU rRNA". The stretch from base 474 to 1058 matches the Rfam family "Eukaryotic large subunit ribosomal RNA", at positions 1 to 599 of the family's 3401-position model. The record is from RNAcentral. Lineage: Eukaryota; Fungi; Ascomycota; Sordariomycetes.
AGGGAUCAUUACCGAGUUCUUACAGAACCCAACCCUUGUGUGAUAAGCUCUCACCCAGCUUUUACACGGGAGUCUCGGCCUAAUCGCCGAGGCAGUGUAAAAAAACAAAACCUCUGUAUCAUUAUCACAAAUUUCUGAAGACUUUUUAAAAGAGUCAAAACUUUCAACAACGGAUCUCUUGGUUCUGGCAUCGAUGAAGAACGCAGCGAAAUGCGAUACGUAAUGUGAAUUGCAGAAUUCAGUGAAUCAUCGAAUCUUUGAACGCACAUUGCGCCCGCCAGUAUUCUGGCGGGCAUGCCUGUCCGAGCGUCAUUUCAACCCAUCAAGCCUAGCGCUUGUGUUGGAGCCCUGCGGCCGCCGCAGCCUCCUAAAAUCAGUGGCGGGCUCGCUAUCACGCUGAGUGCAGUAGUAUUCUUCUCACUCCUGUUGUGUAGCGGGUAACCAGCCGUAAAAAACCCCCAUAUCCAAAAGGUUGACCUCGGAUCAGGUAGGAAUACCCGCUGAACUUAAGCAUAUCAAUAAGCGGAGGAAAAGAAACCAACAGGGAUUGCCCUAGUAACGGCGAGUGAAGCGGCAACAGCUCAAAUUUGAAAUCUGGCAACAGCCCGAGUUGUAAUUUGCAGAGGAAGCUUCUGGUGAUGCACUGUCUAAGUCCCCUGGAACGGGGCGCCACAGCGGGUGAGAGCCCCAUGUGAUGGCUGCUGACCCAGUGUGAAGCUCCUUCGACGAGUCGAGUAGUUUGGGAAUGCUGCUCAAAAUGGGAGGUAAAUUCCUUCUAAAGCUAAAUAUUGGCCAGAGACCGAUAGCGCACAAGUAGAGUGAUCGAAAGAUGAAAAGCACUUUGAAAAGAGGGUUAAACAGCACGUGAAAUUGUUGAAAGGGAAGCGCUCAUGACCAGACUUGCGCUGGGCUGAUCAUCCGGUGUUCUCACCGGUGCACUCUGCCCGGCACAGGCCAGCAUNNGGNNNNNNCGGGGGGAUAAAGGCGCUGGGAACGUAGCUCCCNNNNNNUGUUAUAGCCCAGCGUGCAAUACCCCCGCUGGGACCGAGGUCCGCGCA